UACGGGGGGUGCAAGCGUUAAUCGGAAUUAUUGGGCGUAAAGCGUUUGUAGGCGGGCGAGUGUGUUUAAUGUUAAAUCUUAAAGCUCAACUUUGAAAUUGCGUUAAAAACUGCUUGUCUUGAGUAUGGUAGGGGUAAAGGGAAUUCCCAGUGUAGCGGUGAAAUGCGUAGAUAUUGGGAAGAACACUAAACAGCGAAGGCACUUUACUAGGCUAAUACUGACGCUGAGAAACGAAAGGUAAGGUAGCGAAACGGAUUAGAUACCCGUGUAGUCUUACCCGUAAACUAUGGACACUAAACGGUAAAUUUUUAAUUUACUGUUAAAGCUAACGCGUUAAGUGUCCCGCCUGGGGAGUAUGCUUGCAAAAGUGAAACUCAAAGGAAUUGACGGGGGCCCGCACAAGCGGUGGAGCAUGUGGUUUAAUUCGACGGUACACGAAGAACCUUACCAGGAUUUGACAUGCUAGAUAGUUGCUUGAAAGAGUAACGUGCCGUAAGGAAUCUAGACACAGGUGGUGCAUGGCUGUCGUCAGUUCGUGUUGUGAAAUGUUGGGUUAAGUCCCGCAACGAACGCAACCCUUGUCUUUAGUUAUUUUCUAAAGAGACUGCCUGUAAUAAACAGGAGGAAGGUAAGGAUGAGGUCAAGUCAUCAUGCCCCUUAUGUCCUGGGCUACACACGUGCUACAAUGGGAAAGACAAUGAGCUGCAAAUCUGUAAAUUUAAGCAAAUCUCUUAAACUUUCUCGUAGUUCGGAUUGUGGGCUGCAACUCGCCCACAUGAAGUUGGAAUCGCUAGUAAUCGCCAGUCAGCUAUAUGGCGGUGAAUCCGUUCCCGGGCCU
RNAcentral lists this ribosomal RNA (838 nucleotides) under uncultured bacterium. RNAcentral's name for it is "bacterial SSU rRNA". It matches the Rfam family "Bacterial small subunit ribosomal RNA", at positions 524 to 1381 of the family's 1533-position model. The record is from RNAcentral.